Molecule: non-coding RNA, 231 nt
Filed under: Fervidicola ferrireducens
Lineage: Bacteria; Bacillati; Bacillota; Clostridia; Thermosediminibacterales; Thermosediminibacteraceae
Description: T-box sequence
Rfam family: T-box leader
About the family: Uncharged tRNA acts as the effector for transcription antitermination of genes in the T-box leader family. T-boxes are found upstream of many aminoacyl-tRNA synthetase genes and some amino acid biosynthetic genes usually in Gram-positive bacteria. The anticodon of a specific tRNA base pairs to a specifier sequence within the T-box motif, and the NCCA acceptor tail of the tRNA base pairs to a conserved bulge in the T-box antiterminator hairpin.
Source: RNAcentral
CUAAAGGCGAUGAGGGAAAGAGUAGCCGCAUCUGCCAUUAAGAGAGCCGGUGGGUGGUGCGAACCGGCUGGGGCUGCGGUGAAGUACAUUCCCAGAGCCGCAGGCUGAAAGGGAAAAUGCACCGAGUAGGCUGAGCCGCUCCUCCGCGUUAAAGGAGAAGAGUGGAUUUAUCACGGAACUUGCCGUGGUAAAUCAACUAGGGUGGUACCGCGGGAAAUCCUCGCCCCUUUU